UACGUAGGGUGCAAGCGUUUGUCCGGAAUUAUUGGGCGUAAAGAGCUCGUAGGCGGUUUGUUGCGUCGGCUGUGAAAUCCCCGAGGCUCAACCUCGGGUCUGCAGUCGAUACGAGCAAACUAGAGUGUUGCAGGGGAGACUGGAAUUCCUGGUGUAGCGGUGAAAUGCGCAGAUAUCAGGAGGAACACCCGGUGGCGAAGGCGGGGUCUCUGGGGCAA
RNAcentral lists this ribosomal RNA (218 nucleotides) under uncultured bacterium. Its description in RNAcentral is "partial 16S ribosomal RNA". It matches the Rfam family "Bacterial small subunit ribosomal RNA", at positions 524 to 736 of the family's 1533-position model. The record is from RNAcentral.